This 72-nucleotide transfer RNA is filed under the name Candidatus Bathyarchaeota archaeon. Its description in RNAcentral is "tRNA-Phe". It matches the Rfam family "tRNA". From Rfam's summary of the family: Transfer RNA (tRNA) molecules are approximately 80 nucleotides in length. Their secondary structure includes four short double-helical elements and three loops (D, anti-codon, and T loops). The record is from RNAcentral. Lineage: Archaea; Thermoproteati; Candidatus Bathyarchaeota.
GGUUUUAUAGCUCAGAGGUAGAGCGGCGGGGUGAAGUUCCGCGCGUCCGAGGUUCGAUCCCUCGUAAGACCA